AGAGUUUGAUCCUGGCUCAGGAUGAACGCUGGCGGCGUGCCUAAUACAUGCAAGUCGAACGCUUUGUGCUUAAUUGAUAUGAUGAGCUUGCUCUGAUUUGAUUUUUUGAUUUCAAAGAGUGGCGAACGGGUGAGUAACACGUGGGUAACCUACCUCUUAGCAGGGGAUAACAUUUGGAAACAAGUGCUAAUACCGUAUAAUACCAACAACCGCAUGGUUGUUGGUUGAAAGAUGGUUCUGCUAUCACUAAGAGAUGGACCCGCGGUGCAUUAGCUAGUUGGUAAGGUAAUGGCUUACCAAGGCAAUGAUGCAUAGCCGAGUUGAGAGACUGAUCGGCCACAAUGGGACUGAGACACGGCCCAUACUCCUACGGGAGGCAGCAGUAGGGAAUCUUCCACAAUGGGCGCAAGCCUGAUGGAGCAACGCCGCGUGUGUGAUGAAGGGUUUCGGCCCGUAAAACACUGUUAUAAGAGAAGAACGGCACUGAGAGUAACUGUUCAGUGUGUGACGGUAUCUUACCAGAAAGGAACGGCUAAAUACGUGCCAGCAGCCGCGGUAAUACGUAUGUUCCAAGCGUUAUCCGGAUUUAUUGGGCGUAAAGCGAGCGCAGACGGUUAUUUAAGUCUGAAGUGAAAGCCCCCAGCUCAACUGAGGAAUUGCUUUGGAAACUGGAUGACUUGAGUGCAGUAGAGGAAAGUGGAACUCCAUGUGUAGCGGUGAAAUGCGUAGAUAUAUGGAAGAACACCAGUGGCGAAGGCGGCUUUCUGGACUGUAACUGACGUUGAGGCUCGAAAGUGUGGGUAGCAAACAGGAUUAGAUACCCUGGUAGUCCACACCGUAAACGAUGAGUGCUAGAUGUUCGAGGGUUUCCGC
Molecule: ribosomal RNA, 873 nt
Filed under: uncultured bacterium
Lineage: Bacteria
Description: bacterial SSU rRNA
Rfam family: Bacterial small subunit ribosomal RNA
Source: RNAcentral